Molecule: ribosomal RNA, 376 nt
Filed under: uncultured organism
Description: partial 16S ribosomal RNA
Rfam family: Bacterial small subunit ribosomal RNA
Source: RNAcentral
GAACCGGGCAAACGUUAUUCGGGAAUUACUGGGGCUUAAAGGGUGCGUAGGCGGCGCUUCAAGUCGGGUGUGAAAUCCCCCCCAGCUCAACUGGGGGAACUGCACCCGAAACUGGAGUGCUUGAGGGAGAUAGAGGUGAGCGGAACGAAUGGUGGAGCGGUGAAAUGCGUUGAUAUCAUUCGGAACACCCGUGGCGAAAGCGGCUCACUGGGUCUCUUCUGACGCUGAGGCACGAAAGCUAGGGGAGCGAACGGGAUUAGAUACCCCGGUAGUCCUAGCUGUAAACGAUGAGCACUAGAUCGGGGAGCCUUCCACAGCCUCCCGAUCGUAGCGAAAGUGUUAAGUGCUCCGCCUGGGGAGUAUGGUCGCAAGGCUG